GGGCCGUUAGCUCAGUUGGUAGAGCAGUUGGCUUUUAACCAAUUGGUCGAAGGUUCGAAUCCUUCACGGCCCACCA
RNAcentral lists this transfer RNA (76 nucleotides) under Shewanella benthica. RNAcentral describes it as "tRNA-Lys". It matches the Rfam family "tRNA". Rfam says of the family: Transfer RNA (tRNA) molecules are approximately 80 nucleotides in length. Their secondary structure includes four short double-helical elements and three loops (D, anti-codon, and T loops). RNAcentral also lists the same sequence under 26 other names. Lineage: Bacteria; Pseudomonadati; Pseudomonadota; Gammaproteobacteria; Alteromonadales; Shewanellaceae. The record is from RNAcentral.